Molecule: long non-coding RNA, 1172 nt
Organism: Homo sapiens (human)
Lineage: Eukaryota; Metazoa; Chordata; Mammalia; Primates; Hominidae
Gene: PVT1
Product: Pvt1 oncogene
Source: Ensembl
GAGCGCGUGUGGCGGCCGAGCACAUGGGCCCGCGGGCCGGGCGGGCUCGGGGCGGCCGGGACGAGGAGGGGCGACGACGAGCUGCGAGCAAAGAUGUGCCCCGGGACCCCCGGCACCUUCCAGUGGAUUUCCUUGCGGAAAGGAUGUUGGCGGUCCCUGUGACCUGUGGAGACACGGCCAGAUCUGCCCUCCAGAUUUAUUAGGAGAAAAACCUUCCCGGAAGCUGCAGAAGGACAAAUACAGAAUCCGUGUCUGGGAGAAACCUCGUGGCCUGGUCUCCAUUAUUUGAGAUGAGUUACAUCUUGGAGAGCUUUACAGAAAUUCCAUGCUGCCUUCAGCUUCCUUUGCCGCUCUGCAUCAUGUUGGACCAUAGCUGUCUGCAGUGCAGGAAGCCAACUAUUAAGGGGAAACAAAAGUGUUCUUAGGAGUCCUGCUGUCACUGUGGAUUGAGCCGGUGAAGCCCUGAGGGAUUUCAUCGCUGAGGUGGAUGGAGAAGCAGCUGGGGGCCUUGGCUGUAAGGACCCCUAAGGGCCUGAUCUUUUGGCCAGAAGGAGAUUAAAAAGAUGCCCCUCAAGAUGGCUGUGCCUGUCAGCUGCAUGGAGCUUCGUUCAAGUAUUUUCUGAGCCUGAUGGAUUUACAGUGAUCUUCAGUGGUCUGGGGAAUAACGCUGGUGGAACCAUGCACUGGAAUGACACACGCCCGGCACAUUUCAGGAUACUAAAAGUGGUUUUAAGGGAGGCUGUGGCUGAAUGCCUCAUGGAUUCUUACAGCUUGGAUGUCCAUGGGGGACGAAGGACUGCAGCUGGCUGAGAGGGUUGAGAUCUCUGUUUACUUAGAUCUCUGCCAACUUCCUUUGGGUCUCCCUAUGGAAUGUAAGACCCCGACUCUUCCUGGUGAAGCAUCUGAUGCACGUUCCAUCCGGCGCUCAGCUGGGCUUGAGGACUUCGCAGGUGAGCAGUAACGGAAAUCAGCCCCGUUUAUUCCUCCCAGCACCUGCCUUAUCCAACUCCCCACGCUGUGGCUGAGUCCCAGCCUGCUAUGGAAGCAUCACUGGACUCCCAUUGAACUCUGUGCAGAUUCGCUGUUCGUAGACAUGGUACCUGAUGGACACCAAGCUACGUACAGCUUCAAGGCCCCUUCUUUCUUUGCUAAUAAAAAAUAAAAAAUAAAAA